UUGAAAGGGAAACGAUUGAAGUCAGUCGUGCUGGCGCGAAAUCAACCCUCUCGUCUCGAGAUCACAUGGCGCGACGAGCCUCAAAACGGUCACGAAGCGUGAACUCUUGACGAAAAGGUGCACUUUCGUGUCCGCUGGUUAACAUCAAUUUCGAACGUCAUAAAAAGGCUGGAGGGAUGUGGCUCCUUCGGGAGUGUUAUAACCUUUAGCGGAAUGUGGCGUUCGGGAUUGAGGAUUGCAACGAAUACCUUCAGGGCUGUUCCACCUGGCUUCUCAUUGGUAUCCUGGUGACGACAGCUUGCUGACGUCGUUAGGAUCAGCUUCUGAACAGGCUAGAGUGUGAGCAAAUUCGUUAAGGA
Molecule: ribosomal RNA, 359 nt
Filed under: Glomus sp. rp14
Lineage: Eukaryota; Fungi; Glomeromycota; Glomeromycetes; Glomerales; Glomeraceae
Description: eukaryotic LSU rRNA
Source: RNAcentral